Molecule: ribosomal RNA, 253 nt
Filed under: Paraglomus brasilianum
Lineage: Eukaryota; Fungi; Glomeromycota; Glomeromycetes; Paraglomerales; Paraglomeraceae
Rfam family: Eukaryotic large subunit ribosomal RNA
Source: RNAcentral
CAGUCGCGUCGGCCGGGAAUCAGCUUCGCUCUUGCGUGGUGUACUUUCUGGUUGACGGGUCAGCAUCAAUUUUGACUGCUGGAAAAAGGCUUAGGGAAUGUGGCAGCUUCGGCUGUGUUAUAGCCCUUGGUCACAUACAGCGGUUGGGAUUGAGGUUUCAGUGCACGCUUCGGUUGUGCUUUGAUGCUGGCGUAAUGGCUUUAAGCGACCCGUCUUGAAACACGGACCAAGGAGUCUAGCAUAUAUGCGAGUG